GUGGCCGUAGUUCAGUUGGUAGAACCCCUAAUUGUGAUUUAGGACGUCGUGGAUUCGAGUUCCACCGGUCACC
Molecule: transfer RNA, 73 nt
Filed under: Kosakonia phage Kc304
Lineage: Duplodnaviria; Heunggongvirae; Uroviricota; Caudoviricetes; Pantevenvirales; Straboviridae
Description: tRNA-His
Rfam family: tRNA
About the family: Transfer RNA (tRNA) molecules are approximately 80 nucleotides in length.
Source: RNAcentral